CAAGCAGGCGGCCCGGCAAGUCAGAUGUGAAAUCCCUCGGCUCAACCGAGGAACUGCAUCUGAAACUGCUGGGCUUGAGUUCGGGAGAGGUGAGCGGAAUUCCCGGUGUAGCGGUGAAAUGCGUUGAUAUCGGGAGGAACGUCGGUGGCGAAGGCGCUCACUGGACCGAUACUGACGCUCAGAGGCGAAAGCUAGGGGAGCGAACG
RNAcentral lists this ribosomal RNA (206 nucleotides) under uncultured bacterium. RNAcentral's name for it is "partial 16S ribosomal RNA". It matches the Rfam family "Bacterial small subunit ribosomal RNA", at positions 568 to 774 of the family's 1533-position model. The record is from RNAcentral.